AACGAACGCUGGCGGCAUGCCUAACACAUGCAAGUCGAACGAAGGCUUCGGCCUUAGUGGCGCACGGGUGCGUAACGCGUGGGAAUCUGCCCCUCGGUUCGGAAUAACAGUUAGAAAUGACUGCUAAUACCGGAUGAUGACUUCGGUCCAAAGAUUUAUCGCCGAGGGAUGAGCCCGCGUAAGAUUAGGUAGUUGGUGGGGUAAAGGCCUACCAAGCCGACGAUCCUUAGCUGGUCUGAGAGGAUGAUCAGCCACACUGGGACUGAGACACGGCCCAGACUCCUACGGGAGGCAGCAGUGGGGAAUAUUGGACAAUGGGCGAAAGCCUGAUCCAGCAAUGCCGCGUGAGUGAUGAAGGCCUUAGGGUUGUAAAGCUCUUUUACCCGGGAUGAUAAUGACAGUACCGGGAGAAUAAGCUCCGGCUAACUCCGUGCCAGCCGCCGCGGUAA
RNAcentral lists this ribosomal RNA (449 nucleotides) under uncultured bacterium. Its description in RNAcentral is "partial 16S ribosomal RNA". It matches the Rfam family "Bacterial small subunit ribosomal RNA", at positions 29 to 523 of the family's 1533-position model. The record is from RNAcentral.